Molecule: ribosomal RNA, 865 nt
Filed under: uncultured Desulfocaldus sp.
Lineage: Bacteria; Deltaproteobacteria
Description: bacterial SSU rRNA
Rfam family: Bacterial small subunit ribosomal RNA
Source: RNAcentral
GCUGGCGGCGUNCCUAACACAUGCAAGUCGGACGCGAAAGCUCCUUCGGGAGUGAGUAGAGUGGCGCACGGGUGAGUAACGCGUAGGUAAUCUACCUCUGGAUUGGGGAUAACUCUGCGAAAGCGGAGCUAAUACCGAAUGGUCUGGCUUUAUUUUGAUGAAGUCGGUAAAGGAUGCCUCUGCAUAUGCAUCUGUCCGGAGAUGAGCCUGCGUCCCAUUAGCUAGUUGGUAGGGUAAAGGCCUACCAAGGCGACGAUGGGUAGCUGGUCUGAGAGGAUGAUCAGCCACACUGGAACUGGAACACGGUCCAGACUCCUACGGGAGGCAGCAGUGGGGAAUAUUGGGCAAUGGGCGCAAGCCUGACCCAGCAACGCCGUGUGAGGGAUGAAGGCCUUCGGGUCGUAAACCUCUGUCAGAAGGGAAGAACGGGCACAGUUCGAAUAGGGCUGUGUUUUGACGGUACCUUCAGAGGAAGCACCGGCUAACUCCGUGCCAGCAGCCGCGGUAAUACGGAGGGUGCGAGCGUUAUUCGGAAUCACUGGGCGUAAAGGGCGCGUAGGCGGCCUGGUAAGUCAGGGGUGAAAUCCCACGGCUCAACCGUGGAAUUGCCUUUGAAACUGCUGGGCUUGGAUCCUGGAGAGGGUGGCGGAAUUCCUGGUGUAGGAGUGAAAUCCGUAGAUAUCAGGAGGAACACCGGUGGCGAAGGCGGCCGCCUGGACAGGUAUCGACGCUGAGGCGCGAAAGUGUGGGGAGCAAACAGGAUUAGAUACCCUGGUAGUCCACACCGUAAACGAUGGAUACUAGGUGUUGGGGGCAUGACCCUCAGUGCCGGAGCUAACGCGUUAAGUAUCCCGCCUGGGGAGUA